Molecule: long non-coding RNA, 4640 nt
Filed under: Sus scrofa (pig)
Lineage: Eukaryota; Metazoa; Chordata; Mammalia; Artiodactyla; Suidae
Description: lncRNA (ENSSSCG00030018704.1)
Source: RNAcentral
AACUCCCCUGCUUUCUUUAUAACAGAACCUGGUUUCACAACCAGGGUCCAGCCCUGGGCGUGAGUUACGGGGCAUGCCUGGUACGGAUGGUCUAAUAUGGGGCAUGCCUGGCUUCCAAGUCGCUGACCUCAGAGAAACUAAGACAGUGUCAGAAGACCGCUGCGAGGGAGCAAAGAGGUCCCUUCCUCCCCCCAGAAAAAGCGAUAGCCCGGGACUGACUGCCCUUCUCCCUCUGACUGUGGUGUGAGGCCAUGGUUUCCUGGCACAUUGACCAUCCUGUGACCUUGGCCGGCACAGAGGAUGGCGGGGCAGGCCGGUGGGAAGGUGAUGGUGAUGCAGUUUGCACCACGGAGCACAUUAUUUUAGGGAAUAAAAGUACUAGUCGUGUCGUCUCUUUUAAGUUAAAUGUCUCUGUUAUAUGCCUUUAAAACAUCCUGACUAAUUCACACAUCUCCUUAGUGACAGAGGUGAAGUUCAUUGGAUAAGGAUUAAGGCACAGCUGGAAGAGCUUAUCUGGACUAUUCCAGGCCCGGGGCUGGGUGGGGGGUGGAUCGGAGCACAGAUAGGCUUUAAUCUCCCCGCCCCCUUGCUGUGGGGGGACACAGAGCAAGUAAAGGGACCGACAGGGUCAGGAGGCUUGGGGCUGGACAGCGAGGGACUUCUCUGAUCGAGGGACUUCUCUGAUCGAGACGGAGCCAGAGAAGGAGCCAUGCGGAGGAAGUGUUAAAUGAAAAUCAGCGAAAAGCCUCGUGAUAUCUGUCCGUCGCCAGCCUUUAUCCUCCAGAACUCUCCCUUGGUGAAAUAAAAAAGCCAGCAAGCUAAUGAGGCCAACUUUUGGCGAGGUCUUAGGUCUGAGUUCUGCCUUCUGUGAAUUUGGUUUUUCUGUUUUUCUCUGUACCACGCCUUCCCUUGGUUUCAUUCUUUCUUUCUUUCUUUCUUUUUUUUUUUUUAAGCUUAUCUUUGAAAAGGUCCCACUUGGUCUUCACGACUUGAGGCUCUGCAGGGGCAGUGGUCCCCACUGCCUGCAAGUUCCCAGGGCAGCAGGUCCCCUAGCAACCACAGCCAGAGGAUGGCCACAUAAAAUCUCUCCCACAUUCAAGACAGGAUGGGCUGCAUAUGCGUCCCCCUUUCACCUUUAUAAUCAGAAUGUUUUAUUGAACCUACUUUCCUGCAGGAAAAUGCGGGGGUGAGACAGCCGCCCUGGGCCCCACCGGCCCUGGGAAACAGCCCCCACCCGGCUCUGCGAAACGCUGGGUCUUUUCGGGCUUUGCAGCCAAGUGACCACUAGAGGGCGAGCUAGCCCCACGUGCCGAGCCUGCCCAGGGGAUGGCGGCAGGACCCAGGGUCCUUGCCUGGUUUCCCAGGGUGGGGAGGUUCACCUUCAAAUGCGCCUGGGAAACAGGAGGAAGCUCCCCUUCCAGGGCAGGCAAGUGGGCCUCUUUCCCCGCCCCCCGCCCCCUGCUGACCAGGUUCUCUCUAUUGAGAACCUGCUGUGAUCCUGGGUACUGGGGACACAGCCACCACUGUGGCGUGUGGGGACAGUUCCUGCCCUGGUGGGGACUGCAUUCUAGGGAGGAGAGGCCACGGGACAUAAAAAUGCUGUCCGACCCCAAGAAAAACAAGGGGAGAGGCUUAAGGGUUGGAGGGCGCCCUUUCAUGUCUGGGCUGAGACCGAGUCUGGGCGAAGGAUGGACACCUGCCUCGCUCACAAGCAAAGAGCUGGCUCGUGUCACACCAGAAACGGGCUGGUUAUUCCAAGGAGCCGGCAGCCCCCUUUUCCUUCCUCUUCCUCCCUAGACUCCUGGUCUGAGAGCCUCAGGGCCCUUUUCCUGCCCCCCUCAGACCAAAACCAAUUCUGACGGAAGGUUCUGGCAGAAGUAUUUCAAACUAAGAAGUACAUUCUAGAAGUCAAAGGCCACAUCCUCUGGGGGCGGGGGGGGGGGGGGGGGGGGUGGUCAACACCUUGAGUGUGUACCUGAGAGGGGCUUCUAGCAUCCAAACCAGAUGUGACAGGUGCUUUUGGGCAAAGUGGUGGUCUUCCCAGAGCCCACGAUCACGCAGAGACGGCCCUCAGGGCGAGAUGGUGGCGUUUCGCCAGCUGACCCCCCCCCACAGCAUCUUGUCCUGUGUGGGCAGCUGUCCACCCCGAGUGACCACUGCUGACGGAAGUCGGCCCUGCUGGGUGCUGGGACAUUAUCUUUGUCCUCCUAGAAAAGCAUUGAAACGUGCCGGCUGGACAGCCACCUCCUCAGAUGACCCUGGGGCUACUUGAGGUCACAGCCGUGGUUCUGGAGGACAGGCCAGGAGGAGAAGGUGGAGCCGGGAGGGGGGGGUGGCACUGGAGAAAACUUAGGGCACAAACGAGGCCACAAGGUGUCAUCACGGCAGUGGUCUGAACCUUCUUUUGCCCACAGUCAGAAGUACGUUUUAUCGUGCUCCAGCACAUACGCACGUAGGAUUAAAAACCGCUUCUCACAAAACGGUGUUUACCCUGGCGUGUGCAUGCUCUUUUCAAUCCGACUCUUGUUUGUUGUAAAAGGCCGCUUUAUCUGCCCCGCACAGCUGGUCGCAUGACGGGGCAGGCGUGGGAGACGUGGUUGGACUUUGGAAAGCACCACCCUAGAUGGUCAUAAGCGCAGGAUGGCUUUGGAUCGCCUGCCGAGCGAGCGAGUCUGGCUGGAAACUUCAGGGCGCAGAGACUCAGUGGGGCGGACGGAGGCCUUGGGGUCUUGCCAGAGACGCGGAAUGAUGGACGUGGGGACCGUUGCUAAGAGCAGCUCAAGAUCGUGACCGAGGUCGUGUGUACUUUGCACACCCAAAUACGUGCAAUUUCCUGUUCACCGUUCAAUUAAAAUACUAACAUUCCAUCAGCAGCGGAGGGCGGGGAUUCUGGGCUGGAGGCUUUACAUCUGGGUUCUUGAAACCCGGCUCUGUCCCUCUGUCCGGGUCUAAGGAGAGCCGUUUGAAAUGCGAAUGAGCUUCCCGCAAAGUUGAUUUAACUGGUCAAACUUUCCCACCAUCUCCGCGGAGCAUCACAGAGCGCUCUUCUCUUCUCUCCCAGCAACUGGAGUUUAUUUUUCAAAUAAAAGUCUGUUUUCCCAUAAAAUGCCAAAGGUUUGGUACUCUGUGUAGCGGAAUGAACUUGGGCUUUAAAGACUUUAAUUUGGAGCCUGCAAGUCUUCGAUUCUCGUGCCAAGGGCUUCCCGGGGCUGAGAACCUCCUGCCUCCUGGCCCCGCAGAAGCCCCAGCCCGGGCACGCUCCACGAAUCAGGGUCAGACCGGAGUGACUUAGGCCUUGGCUCUUGGAUCUGGAACGUGAGGCUGGUGGCCCUGCAGAACUGCCACGCCGACACCAGUCUUCUCGUAAAGCAGGCUGUUUAUGUGACCAGCAGGAUGGAACCACUCUGAGUGUUUAAAACAGAUGAGGCUGAGUGAUUAUCCGGUUAUAAAGGUGCAGGAGGAGCUAAGCCAAGCAAGAGAGGCCAUCCAGGGACUAGUGGGGAAGUUUCUAGGUCCCUGAUCGGAGAGGUAAAGGAGGAGGCAGUGAGGGCAGGAGGAGGGCACUCAGGGUGACCUGGGGAGAGCUGGCUGUCAGGCAGGAUCAGGGGUCCGAGAUGCUCCCUAAAGCCAGAAGCCAGCCGAGAAGGGAACCUGGGCAUUGCGGCUGCAGGGUCAGCCCCGUGUGUGCCAGGCAGAGCGGGGGAUGGGUAAGGAGCGGGAAUGAGGGCCAGUGGCAUGAUGCCAGCGCCUAGAUGAAUGCAGGUACUGGUGCCUGCGAUGUGAGAGCAGACCGGUCCAGGCACGCGCACCCCCAGCCCCCAGCCCUGCAGAGUUGGGAAACCUUCUCUUUCAGGGCGACAGAAGCAGGCAUUCUUAGGGAAACUUUGGUGCCACCUCCGUGGACAGGAAUCAGUUCUAGAAAGACGUCCCUAAUGUGGGUUGCAGGUCCCCGGGUUUGAGGGGUCCCGGGUGAGGUUCUGCGGGGCAGUGCUGGGGGGAGGUGGGGCGGCCGCUCGGGACAUGGGCAGCGAUCGGAGGCCUGCCACUCUGGUCCUGGGGAGCUGGCUCCUGCCUGGAGGCCUGGCAGCCUCCUGGAGUAGCCUCUGGGCAUUUAUCACUAGUGCAGAAGAGUGUGUGCUCAACCACGAAACAGAUGCUGUCCACAUGGGGGUGAGAACCCCGGGGAGGGGGCGGGUCUCAGGGCUCCCAGACCCUGUGGGAGCCACCUUGCCGCCUGGGAGAUGAUGGCCAUGGGAGUCUUUUAAAGCAGGCUUGGCCAGCUCUUCCUGUGAAAGGUUGGAUGGUAAAUGUUUUAGGCUUCGUGGGCCACCUGGUCUUGGCCGCCUCAACUCAGCCGCAGACAAAAUGUGAUCUGUGUUCUAACAAAUCUUUAUUUAUAAAAGCAGGUAGCUGACACUAUCGGUCCUGUUUUAACAAAUCUAGUCAUCUCUCCCCCCUUUGACCUCUCAAUGCCUCCUCUAUCUGCUCAAGUUAAAAUUUGCGUUCCCUAGUGGCUCAGUGGGUUAAGGAUCCAGUGUUGUCAGUGCUGUGGCUCGGGUCACUGCUGUGAAGGGGGUUUGAUUCCUGGCCCAGGAACUUCUGCAUGCCAUGGGUGUGGCCAAAAAAAAAAAAAAAAAAAA